Molecule: ribosomal RNA, 253 nt
Filed under: uncultured bacterium
Lineage: Bacteria
Description: partial 16S ribosomal RNA
Rfam family: Bacterial small subunit ribosomal RNA
Source: RNAcentral
UACGUAGGGUGCGAGCGUUAAUCGGAAUUACUGGGCGUAAAGCGUGCGCAGGCGGUUCGUUGUGUCGGCGGUGAAAGCCCCGGGCUUAACCUGGGAAUGGCCGUUGAAACUGGCGAACUGGAGUGUGGCAGAGGGGGGUGGAAUUCCGCGUGUAGCAGUGAAAUGCGCAGAUAUCAGGAGGAACACCGGUGGCGAAGGCGGGUCUCUGGGCCGUAACUGACGCUGAGGAGCGAAAGCGUGGGGAGCGAACAGG